This 396-nucleotide ribosomal RNA is filed under the name uncultured bacterium. Its description in RNAcentral is "bacterial SSU rRNA". It matches the Rfam family "Bacterial small subunit ribosomal RNA", at positions 30 to 416 of the family's 1533-position model. The record is from RNAcentral.
CGAACGUUGGCGGCGUGGAUUAGGCAUGCAAGUCGAACGAAUCUCACUUGUGUAGCAAUACAUGGGUGGGGGAAGUGGCGAAAGGGGCAGUAAGGCGUGGGUAACCUACCCUGGGGAUGGGCAUAGCCGUUCUAACGAGCGGGUAAUACCCAGCGAUUCGGCCGAGGGGACAUCCUCUUGCCGGGAAAAGAGUUUCGCCUCGGGAGGGGCUCACGUGCUAUUAGCUAGUUGGUGAGGUAACGGCNCACCAAGGCAAAGAUGGCUAGCGGGUGUGAGAGCACGACCCGCGCCACUGGCACUGAGACACUGGCCAGACACCUACGGGUGGCUGCAGUCGAGGAUCUUCGUCAAUGGGCGCAAGCCUGAACGAGCGACGCCGCGUGUGCGAUGAAGGCC